CUUUGCUGCUUUAAAGCGAGCCGCGGAGGAGGGAGGGAGGGACAGGCUCUCCUUCCCUCUCUCCUCCCCGGCUCAGCUCGCUUUAAAGCAGCAAA
Non-coding RNA from Podarcis lilfordi (Lilford's wall lizard), 95 nucleotides. NCBI's taxonomy places the organism in Eukaryota, Metazoa, Chordata, Lepidosauria, Squamata, Lacertidae. The record is from the annotation of a GenBank genome assembly.